RNAcentral lists this ribosomal RNA (120 nucleotides) under Oryzias javanicus (javanese ricefish). The record is from RNAcentral. Lineage: Eukaryota; Metazoa; Chordata; Actinopteri; Beloniformes; Adrianichthyidae.
GCUUACGGCCACACCACCCUGAACACGCCCGAUCUCGUCUGAUCUCGGAAGCUAAGCAGGGCCGGGCCUGGUUAGUAAAUUGGAUGGGAGACCGCCUGGGAAUACCAGGUGCUGUAAGUU